RNAcentral lists this long non-coding RNA (830 nucleotides) under Olea europaea (common olive). RNAcentral's name for it is "long non-coding RNA (OEUR_LNC008387)". Lineage: Eukaryota; Viridiplantae; Streptophyta; Magnoliopsida; Lamiales; Oleaceae. The record is from RNAcentral.
UGUCAACACAUGCACACAAUCUUAGGUAAACCAUUACUUCAAAAUGUUGGAUUUUCUUACUAAAAUGAGUUUUUCAUCAGGUAUUGCAUUUUGAUCGGAGGCUUCCAACCAUGUUUUUUUUAUAUUUUUGGCAUUGAGAAUUUAAUAGCUUGAAGGAGAAAAAAAGGGAAAAACAGAUUUUUAGUUUUAUAUAUUUUUGGCAUUGCCAUUUCAAUGCUCAGUUACCAUCCUUAAUGGAACUGCCCCCCUUUUUUUUUGCGGUGUAACGUUUUAUUUUUGUUUUUCUUUUGAUCCUUCUCUAUUGAGUUUAUUGUUGGAUAAUAAAUGCAUAUAUUUUUCCGGAUGAUGCGCACGACCUAAUCACUCUGAGAUAUUAACUUAAGCCCAACUUUUGAGUUUUGAGCACCUCUAUUUAUUUUGGGGGGGCUUCAAGAAGUUAACACCGUGUGAAAAAAUCAAAUUAGUAUGGUUAACCCCUUAAGUCAUUAUUUUUCUCUCUCUUAAACUCAAUUUUUGUUACUAAGCAAAAUCUAAACUGAAGAUGUGCAGCAUUGGUGAUUAUAAUUUAGUCAAUCUGUUUAUCCAUUACAAUUUAGUAAUGAAAUCUGAUUGUGAACUGUGUAACAACAGGGGUUUCUCCUCAAGGAAUUCCCAAAGGAUGUCUAUGCCCUAUAACAUCCACACGAGCAGGUCGACGGUGCCAAAAUAAAUGUAAGAUUGAUUCAAAUGAUUCUGCAGUGACUCCCUCCGGUGGUAGUCCUUAUCUUCAGAUGUCAAGGGGAGGACUGAACAUCAUCGCUACCAUAGGAUGGACGCUAAACCUACAAAAU